Rosa chinensis is the source of this 378-nucleotide long non-coding RNA. RefSeq lists it as uncharacterized. The record is from RefSeq and is a predicted model, not a curated record. NCBI's taxonomy places the organism in Eukaryota, Viridiplantae, Streptophyta, Magnoliopsida, Rosales, Rosaceae. The transcript has 3 exons.
UAUGUGCAACCCUGGAUUAGUGGCCAACUGAUAAAUGUGAUUACAAUCAAUGUCCUUGGGGAAAAGCUGGAAUUUUUAAUCUGGAUUUGAAGAACAAGACCUUGAUCAAUGCAGUAAAGGCAUUCAAUACAAUAAGGAUCAGAAUUGGAGGUUCAUUGCAAGACCAAAUUAUUUAUAAUUUUGGUUAUGGAGUGAAAGACUGCAACCAAAUCGUGAAAGAUGGUUCUGGGCCUUUCUUGUUCCGUGGCGGUUGUCUUCAGCCGAAAAGAUGGGAUGAGAUCUAUGAGUUCUUCAACCAAACACAAGCCAAACUCUUGUUUGGAUUGAAUGCCCUUCAUGGGAAGAAAGCGGACCCUAAAGACAAGAUUCUUUGGGUUG